GAAAGCCUGACAGUUAAGCUGCCAGAUUUCUCAAGAGACUUAUCCGGCCGGCUACAGACCCUUUAGACCCAAUAAUAACGGUUACCACUCGAGCCGCCGGUGUUACCGCGGCGGCUGGCACCGGUCUUGCCCGGCCCUUGCUAUGAAAUGCUUUUUAGGCAUCUCGACAGCCAGAUUUGUAACCUGGCACUCGAGGUUCCCUUAUCGCUGUUGCCAGCAUUGUAAAGUUUUCGCGCCUGCUGCACCCCGUAGGGCCUGGAUUCGUGUCUCAGAAUCCAUCUCCGGGCUCUUGCUCUCACAACCCGUACCCGUCGUAGGCUAGUAGGUACGCUACACCCACUACUACCUGAUAGGCCGCAGACCCAUCCUUAGGCGCCGGAGCUUUAAAUCUCGAUGCAUUCCAGCAAUCGAGACCUAUCGGGUAUUAUACCCAGUUUCCCGGGUUUAUACCCAACCUAAGGCAGUUGUCCACGUGUUACUGA
Molecule: ribosomal RNA, 482 nt
Filed under: uncultured archaeon
Lineage: Archaea
Description: partial 16S ribosomal RNA
Source: RNAcentral